CUACAAAGGAAUUGACGGGGGCCCGCACAAGCGGUGGAGCAUGUGGUUAAUUCGACGCAACGCGAAGAACCUUACCAGGGCUUGACAUCCCCUGACCGCGUAUGAAAGUACGUUCUCACCCUCGGGUGACAGGGAGACAGGUGGUGCAUGGUUGUCGUCAGCUCGUGUCGUGAGAUGUUGGGUUAAGUCCCGCAACGAGCGCAACCCCUACGUUUAGUUGCUAACGCGUGAAGGCGAGCACUCUAGACGAACUGCCGUUGACAAAACGGAGGAAGGUGGGAUGACGUCAAAUCAUCAUGCCCCUUAUGUUCUGGGCUACACACGUGCUACAAUGGCCGGUACAGACGGACGCAAAGCCGCGAGGUGGAGCAAAUCCUAAAAAGCCGGUCUCAGUUCGGAUUGCAGGCUGCAAUUCGCCUGCAUGAAGUCGGAAUCGCUAGUAAUCGCAGGUCAGCAUACUGCGGUGAAUACGUUCCCGGGCCUU
RNAcentral lists this ribosomal RNA (484 nucleotides) under uncultured Pelotomaculum sp. RNAcentral's name for it is "bacterial SSU rRNA". It matches the Rfam family "Bacterial small subunit ribosomal RNA", at positions 903 to 1382 of the family's 1533-position model. Lineage: Bacteria; Bacillati; Bacillota; Clostridia; Eubacteriales; Desulfotomaculaceae. The record is from RNAcentral.